UAAUAUAUUUUGUGCAAUACAUCAUUUGAAAUUUGAGAAUGUAAUAAAAUUAAUGAAUUAAAGAUUACAUGGCCUUUACCUAGAUCCUCUAGAAGUGUCUCUAUGCAGGCUGGCAUGAACUUGACUUUGGCUCUUUCGCUGGCUCUUCGCGGCCGGGGCCGCGGAAAGACUUGGGCUUUAUCCCAAGACAUGGGAGGCUUUCAGGAAGACGCUGAGGAAUGGAUGGAAGGGGCCUGACUGGGUGGGGAUGACAGAAGCCUGUGGCGAGGCUUGGCUGCCCGCAGGCUGGGACUGGUGGCACCUGGACCCAGAGUGGCCUGAGAGGUGGAGGAAAUUGAGUAUUUCACAGAUGCUUAUGAGCCGGAGUGCAAGGAGACUUGGCGACCAACUGAACUGGAAAGGCUGGAUUGGGUUACCCACAGGUGAGUGUGCUGGGCGGUUCUUCAAGAGCCCAAGUCGGAGGGUAGGGGUGCGGGUGUGUGCCAAUCGGAGUGAAAGCAGUGAGCUUGGCUGAACAUCCCUCGGCUCACCUGACAGCAGCCCGCUCCGCACCGCCUUGCAGCAUUUUGGACUCUUCUGAGCUUUCCUCCAGUCCUCUUCAGCUGUGUCAGCCUCCCUACUGAACUCUGACUUCAGCUAUUAUAUUUUUCAGUUUUGAUUCACUGUAAAAUCUGCCAGGGCUCAUUUUAACGUUUCCUGUUCCCUGCAGAUAUUUUCAAGUUUGUCUUUUCAUUCUUUAAAACGGUAAAACAAUGCACAGUCUGUGUCUGGUCAUUCCAGGAUCUGAGGUACUUGUGGGUCUACUAUCUGUUUUCUGCUGGUUCUCAAUCAUGCUGUCAUUUCCUUGGGUACGUGGCCAUCUUUGUCUAUAUUUUGUUAUUGUAAUUUAAAAACUAUACAAAUAACUGAAGUCCAGGAUGAAGGGUCCUUCCUCCAGAGAUCUGUGCACUUCUGCCACACACCUGGGGCGGCCGCCUAACUGAACUGCGAGGUUCCAUGGUCCACUGUGGCCCCCAAAUCCAGCCUGCAGCCCAGGUGAGGACGGGAUCACUUCUGGUUCACCCUCACCCUGAGGGGGCAGCCGUUGCACAUCUCGGUUUAACAAAUCGGGGAAGGAUUAGACUCCCUGCCUUGGGCCAGGCCCUUGAGUUUGACAUUUCAUCUCUUUCGCCAAGGCCUCCAAAAACACAGCUGUUUAGAGUUACUUCUUCCAAAGCAAGACACUCCCCUGUCCACAUACUCACGAAAGACUGAGUUCAACAAGGAGCGGAGGCCUUCAGCCGGGCGGAGGCUGUGCCCGGUCCUCGAGUGUCACGUGGAGGAGGAACUAGGCUUAGGAGGGCAGAGCCGGCCAGGACCACACAGGGAGCUGACUGGGACUGGAAAAAGGGGAAACUUCCUAACUCUGAAUGGCGCUGAGGUCUCCCCAGACUCUCAUGGAGAAUAUGCAGUGGCAUUCAAACCCCGGUUCUGGGGGCUAGAAGGGACUCGAUGUCUUGGAGAUGCUCGUGAUUUUAUGUGCUUAACCAUAUCCUUGCCCCUCAGGGUCACAUGUCCCCACAACGGCCCCCAGCCUCCUCCCAUGAGCUCAGUCAACAUGUGCUCAAGCCGCCAGAGUUCAAGAUUUUAUUUUAAAACAAGAGUAAACAAUUUCAUUGAUUUUUCUUAAAUCACCUCACACCUGGCUUGUCUCAGGCAAAAAGUAAAAAGUAAAAAUAAGAAGGGAAGGGGAGGAAAAUGUGGGGACUGACCAAGCUUCCCCAGAAAUAGGCCCCUGGUCCUGGCAUCUGGAAUGGCUUUUGGACACUGUCUUCAACAAAUGAGAAAAGAAAGCACCAAAAUAUUGUGCUUCAGCAGCAGAUUAGGAACCUCCAUAAAGAAAAAGGCAGGGCAGGAGAGGGAUUCAAACACAGGACCCAAGCAGCCUGGUUCAGUUCGAGAAACUUGCAAGAGUCUCGAAGCAUCUCCUCUCCACAACUCCAUUUCAGAGCAACUGAGAGACCAGCUCCCUUGAGGAAGGAAGAGGCGUCUUCCGAGCUGGACAGCGGGGAUCUGAGCCUGCCUCCCGGGCUCAAGGGUGACCCCGAGCAGGCUCCCAGCGUCUUGGAGGAGGGUCAGGAAGGACGAGGAAUGUUCAGAGCAUCCAGAGGGAGGGGAAGUGUGGGGACGUCAGGCACCCACUGCCCCACUGUGCUCAGCGGCUCCCGGUUCCUUCACGUCUUGUUCGACUGGAGAUGAAGACUAACUGCUCCGGAUGGCAGGACGGAAGGGCUGUAAACAGCCGGGGUGUGCUCACCCACAUGUGCAGGCUCUUUUGUCAGAAAAGGACCAUUGUCUUGGGGACAGGGGACCAGAAAAAGCCCUUAUGGUGUAGGGUGGAUAUGGGGUAGAACGCAGUGAUAGCAGCCGCCAGAUGCGUGCUCUCUGGGCCCUGGCCCCAGACAAGGAAACACUGAACGAGGUUCUGGAAUGGCAAUGGUGGCAGGGAGGGCAUAGGGGUGCUCCCAUCCUCCUGGGCCCCCAGGCCACCUCUCAGGCCCAGGGAGAGGCAGCCUGCCCCUGGGCUCAGGGCAAAGGGCCUGGGAAGCUGACCUGGGCCCCUCUGUACGCAGGGCAGCCACUGCCGAGCAGGC
Molecule: long non-coding RNA, 2633 nt
Filed under: Equus asinus (donkey)
Lineage: Eukaryota; Metazoa; Chordata; Mammalia; Perissodactyla; Equidae
Description: lncRNA (ENSEASG00005024468.1)
Source: RNAcentral